GAUGACUUCGGUCACGACGGUAUGGCGAGCUUUCGCCGUCCACGUUUCUCUUUCUUCAAGAAGACAAAAAACCGCGUCGACCGGUUCCCCGAAUGGGCCCGUAGCUCAGUUGGUUAGAGCACACGCUUGAUAAGCGUGGGGUCGGAAGUUCAAGUCUUCCCGGGCCCACCAUUUGCACCAGCAAAUGAAAUUUGCUGUAGCGAAUGAGGGUUAGGGAUGAUGGAAUGUUGGUGAUGCGGAUUGUUGCCGAACCUGGGCUUGUCCUGGGUGAUCGAGCUGGAGGGGCUGUAGCUCAGCUGGGAGAGCACCUGCUUUGCAAGCAGGGGGUCAGCGGUUCGAUCCCGCUCAGCUCCACCAAAUCGAUUGGUGUUGAGACUGACGGCAUUUGUCUUUUGAAGAAAUAAAAGUUUUGCAUCGGCUUAGGCUGGUGCGUGUUCUGCAUACAUUGUGAAGAGAAGAUUGAUCUGGAGGCUUCCAGGUGUUGUGGGUUUUGCCCAUGAUGUCCGAGCCCGGUUCCUGUGAAACCAUGGAUGGCCUAGCCGGCCGGAUGUGGUGGAGGAAUUGGAGGUAGGUAGGAAGCUUGUCGCUCUGGAUCGUCAGCGUAAACCGCGUAGCGGUUUAUCGCGUGUUGUUCGUUGCCUUUGGGCAGCGUCUGACGGACGAUCGGAUUA
RNAcentral lists this transfer RNA (671 nucleotides) under Rhizobium leguminosarum bv. trifolii. Its description in RNAcentral is "partial contains 16S ribosomal RNA, 16S-23S ribosomal RNA intergenic spacer, and 23S ribosomal RNA". The stretch from base 95 to 168 matches the Rfam family "tRNA". Lineage: Bacteria; Pseudomonadati; Pseudomonadota; Alphaproteobacteria; Hyphomicrobiales; Rhizobiaceae. The record is from RNAcentral.